RNAcentral lists this unclassified non-coding RNA (236 nucleotides) under plant metagenome. Its description in RNAcentral is "partial contains small subunit ribosomal RNA, internal transcribed spacer 1, and 5.8S ribosomal RNA". The record is from RNAcentral.
UUUCCGUAGGUGAACCUGCGGAAGGAUCAUUACCGAGUGAGGGCCCUCUGGGUCCAACCGCCCACCCGUGUUUAUCGUACCUUGUUGCUUCGGCGGGCCCGCCUCACGGCCGCCGGGGGGCACCCGCCCCCGGGCCCGCGCCCGCCGAAGACACCAUUGAACGCUGUCUGAAGAUUGCAGUCUGAGCAUCUUAGCUAAAUUAGUUAAAACUUUCAACAACGGAUCUCUUGGUUCCG